GACGGAGGAUGCAAGUGUUAUCCGGAAUCACUGGGCGUAAAGCGUCUGUAGGUGGUUUAAUAAGUCAACUGUUAAAUCUUGAGGCUCAACUUCAAAAUCGCAGUCGAAACUAUUAGACUAGAGUAUAGUAGGGGUAAAGGGAAUUUCCAGUGGAGCGGUGAAAUGCGUAGAGAUUGGAAAGAACACCAACGGCGAAAGCACUCUGCUGGGCCGACACUGACACUGAGAGACGAAAGCUAGGGGAGCGAAUGGG
RNAcentral lists this ribosomal RNA (253 nucleotides) under uncultured bacterium. Its description in RNAcentral is "partial 16S ribosomal RNA". It matches the Rfam family "Bacterial small subunit ribosomal RNA", at positions 524 to 776 of the family's 1533-position model. The record is from RNAcentral.